GCACGUAGUUGGCCGGGCCUUCUUCUGCAGGUACCGUCAAUUUCGUCCCUGCUGAAAGCGGUUUACAACCCGAAGGCCUUCAUCCCGCACGCGGCGUCGCUGCGUCAAGGUUUCCCUCAUUGCGCAAGAUUCCCUACUGCUGCCUCCCGUAGGAGUCUGGGCCGUGUCUCAGUCCCAGUGUGGCUGAUCGUCCUCUCAGACCAGCUAUCCGUCGUCGCCUUGGUAGGCCGUUACCCCACCAACAAGCUGAUAGACCGCGAGCCCAUCCCAAAGCGCCUGAACAUUUCCUCUUCCAACCAUGCGAUCGGAGGAGGACAUCCGGUAUUAGCCCGGGUUUCCCCGGGUUAUCCCAGUCUUUGGGGCAGGUUGCUCACGUGUUACGCACCCGUUCGCCGCUUUCCACGGGACCGAAGUCCCGCUUCACGCUCGACUUGCAUGUAUGAGGCGCGCCGCCAGCGUUCGUC
RNAcentral lists this ribosomal RNA (464 nucleotides) under uncultured bacterium. Its description in RNAcentral is "partial 16S rRNA". The record is from RNAcentral.